AGGACCACCACAGGCCUGAGGUGCGGUCAGGAGGGUACAAGCUGGACCUGGAUACCUGGUACCUCUCCCUGGCCUACGGGGACCCCUUUGCCUUGAUGAAGGUGAACACCGCUGCACCGGAGGGGUUCAGAGCCUGAGAACAUGACCGCAUCACAUCCCCCGCACACAACACUUGCCUUACCCCACACUGCAGU
Long non-coding RNA from Alosa alosa (allis shad), 194 nucleotides. RefSeq lists it as uncharacterized. NCBI's taxonomy places the organism in Eukaryota, Metazoa, Chordata, Actinopteri, Clupeiformes, Clupeidae. The record is from RefSeq and is a predicted model, not a curated record. The transcript is spliced from 3 exons.